AUGGUGCUGGACAAGGAGAGGAGCAGGGUCCUUGUAAUUGGUGGCACAGGUCACAUAGGCAAGCGUAUCGUCGCGGCGAGUGCUCGCCGUGGCCACUCGACCUCUGUCCUCAUCAGGGACGUUGCGCCGUCUGAUCCAGCUAAGAUGCAGCUCCUCAAGAGCUUCAUUGAUUCCGGUGUUGCUCUCAUCAAGGGAGAUUUAUUCGACCACGGGAGCCUCGUAAAUGCCAUAAAGGGUGUAGACGUCGUCGUCUCGGCUGUGGGGCCUCGUCAGCUCGUGGAGCAGUCGAGGAUUGUCAUGGCAAUCAAGGAGGCCGGCAAUGUGAAGAGGUUUUUGCCAUCUGAGUUUGGCUCUGACGUAGAGCGGGUUCACACCGUAGAUCCAGCGGCCACAUUGUACGCUGGUAAACUCAGCCUUCGCCGUCUGAUUGAGGCAGAGGGUAUACCUCAUACAUAUGUCUGCUGCAAUGGGUUCGCCGAAACCUACCUUCCGAGCAUCGGCGAUGUUACAGCUGUUGGCGCUGGCCCUCCUUCCGACAAGAUCACCGUCCUAGGCGAUGGAGAUGCAAAAGCGGUGUUUGUGGUGGAAGAAGACAUUGCCACCUACACGGUGAGGGCGGUCGACGAUCCGAGAACCCUCAACAAGAUCCUGUACAUGAGGCCACCGGCGAACAUUGUGUCCCACAACGAGCUCAUCUCGAUGUGGGAGAGGAAAGCGGGCAGGACUUUCCAGAUCGUGCGCAUCCCGGAGGCGGGUCUCCUCAAGUUGAUCAAGGAGGCGGCUUUCCCUCUGAACAUAUUGCUGUCCCUCGCCCUCUCCAUCUUCAUCGGGGGCGACCAGGCCAACUUUGAGAUUGAACCAUCCUUUGGCGUCGAGGCCACCGAGCUGUACCCCGACCUAAAGUACACCACUAUCGACGAGUAUCUCGACCGCCUUCUCUGA
Molecule: ribosomal RNA, 942 nt
Filed under: Triticum aestivum (bread wheat)
Lineage: Eukaryota; Viridiplantae; Streptophyta; Magnoliopsida; Poales; Poaceae
Description: partial small subunit ribosomal RNA
Source: RNAcentral